GCCUCAAGCGGACAGCGAGAGGGGCGCACCCGGCCUGAGUACGGCUGGAGCUGGGGCUGCAGACCCAGGACCAGGAGCUGGACAGCGCCCUAGCCGGGGAAGGUGAUCUGAGUGGGAGGCUGGCUGUUGCUGGGACUGUCAGGCAGGCGUGGCAAGUGAUACCACUUAGCUGUUCAAAAAAAAAAAAAAAAUCACGAAAACAGCCCAAACUAUAGGGUGCUGAAGGCCAUCUUGUUACCUACGUCUUUUGAAAAUCAAAUCUUUGAGAAAGGUGGGCAGAUCCAGUGACAGACGACAACGGUCUGGGCGUCUAUUUACAGAACAAAUGCUUUGAAAAUACCUUCCAAUUCGAUCCCUUAGCAGACAUAGAUGGAGAAAAGGAUCUAACAGGUGGACUUUCGAGCCUGCUGCGGUACUUCCUAAAUAGACUAAGGGCUGGGGGAAGGCCAGCAAACAUACACCUCCCCUUAGUCCCCACCCCCAGCCCGAACUGCUUCUCCCAAUCCGCUCCAGUUUUCUCAGGCAGCAGGUAACUCCCUAGAGAUCGUCCAAACGGCUCCUCCCAGUUCUUCCAUCCUAGCAUGGCAACUCCAUGGCAGCUAACACCUCCCAUUUCUUCUCAGCCGGCCCAAAUUCUCGUUUCUUCUUGCACAGUGCGACCAGGGCCACCACAUAACUCCAUCACUGUGAGGGAUUGUAUCAGGGCUUGUUUAAACCCCGUGGGGCCCCCCAUUGCGCUAGAGGAAACCCAGGCUUCUUGUCACCAUCACACUGACGUGGACCCGUGCGCCUGCUGUAGGAAUACUCUUCAUGCCUAGGCAGGGACAGCCUCUGCCGGCAGGGGUCUGCUCCAGAGUAUUUGAAGUGGCGAGAUGUGGAAAUGGACAGGGGCUUCUGAACAUUCCCAUCCUAAGAGAGGCCUUCCGACUUUAUGAUUGCCCAGAGGCACCUACACCACCUGCUUCUGAGAGAGGAGCUGGUUGGUGUCUGUCGGGCCACACUCACCCUGCCCUCCACUCUGCUCAGCAUUGCUCAAAUCCUGAAGCCCUGAGUCAUGAUCCUGGUGCCAGCCAGCCAGCCAGGGAGAGAGUGUGAUGUUCCCCCUCGCCCUGACUGUCUCCACCCCAGGCCACAGAGUAGACUGGGUACCUGGUAAAUGGACCCAUCCUGCCUGCCUCACUCAGCUGUCCACCCUCUGGCACAGCAGUCUUCUUCCUGGGAGGACGAGAGGAACCUCCAGCUCUUCCCUUAUUGGAAAACACUAGGUUUGCAUCCAAGGAAUGGGCCUGGUAACACGGCUCUUCUUCAGCUUAAUGAAAUCACAUCUGUCUGCUGAGGCUAGAGGACACUCUGUACCCAACCAAAGAGACCUAUGGAGAGACAGACUGUUCCCAAGGCACUGCCCUGUGCACCAGCCCUUCUUUUCCCAUUCUUGAGUCAGCAACGAGGAUCCUCCCCAGCUCCAAAGCUACCGGCAUCAGACUAGAAGGGAGAUAGACACUGCCAGGAGAGUGGUUUGAUGUGGCCAGAAAAUACAAGACCAAGCCUGCGCAAAGUUGCUACUGCAUUCAGCUGAACUCCACUGAGCAUGGCGGCCCAUCGCUCCCCCGUACGGCUCCAGUGGGAAUAUAGUGGAAAUCUGUAAGGGACCCACACCAUGAGACUGCAGAAUUUGAGCCUCACAGCAGAUCUGCACCACAGGGGCCACAAGCACCCAUGGUCCUGGAGCUGAGGCCUCACUUUCCACCCAGAUUCUCAGUGUUUUGUGAAAAGCCAUGCACCAUUAGUGCCAAGGUUAAUGUAUCUCCUGGCCUCAAGAUUUCCCGUAUCCACAGCUAUAAUUUGUCAAUAUGUAAUAAAAAUUUAAAACAUUGUUACAAAAUAUUCACAACACAACAUGGUUAAUUUUGACUGACAGCUUGAUUAAAUUAAGACCAAGGAGGUUUUUCUACACACCUUGGGCUUGUCUGUGAAGAUAUUCCCAGGAGGACUAAGAAGGAAGACUCUCCCAGAAUGUGGGUGGAGCCAUCACCAUAGGCUGGAGCCCCACUGAAGGGAAGAAAACUGAAAAUAAGUAAAUACAUUUUGUGGGUGAGGUGGAAGGAGUGACCGGCAGAUCUGUGCCUCACACCGCAGGCUCCCUGUUAGCCAUGCUCUAACUCUUGUGGCACCAGACAUUGCCCUGGGAUCACAAUUUGUAUCCUUCUGGGUGAAGGAGCAGCUUCUGGGUCAGCACUGAAAGCUGAGUUGUCUUUUGGUCACAUCUGGUAAUGCUGACAAGAUACAGUUUAACAAUAAAGAGGAGAGGAAGAGA
Molecule: non-coding RNA, 2314 nt
Organism: Peromyscus maniculatus bairdii (prairie deer mouse)
Lineage: Eukaryota; Metazoa; Chordata; Mammalia; Rodentia; Cricetidae
Source: RefSeq, a predicted model, not a curated record